AGAACGGACGCUGGCGGCAUGCCUAAUACGUGCAAGUCGAACGAACACUUCGGUGUUAGUGGCGCACGGGUGCGUAACGCGUGGGAAUCUGCCCUUGGGUUCGGAAUAACAGUUGGAAACGACUGCUAAUACCGGAUGAUAUCGAAAGAUCAAAGAUUUAUCGCCCAGGGAUGAGCCCGCGUAGGAUUAGCUAGUUGGUGAGGUAAAGCUCACCAAGGCGACGAUCCUUAGCUGGUCUGAGAGGAUGAUCAGCCACACUGGGACUGAGACACGGCCCAGACUCCGUACGGGGGGCAGCAGGUAGGAACUAUUGGACAAUGGGCGCGAAGCCUGAUCCAGCAAUGCGCGUGAGUGAUGGAGUCCGUUAGGU
Molecule: ribosomal RNA, 370 nt
Filed under: uncultured soil bacterium
Lineage: Bacteria
Description: bacterial SSU rRNA
Rfam family: Bacterial small subunit ribosomal RNA
Source: RNAcentral